Molecule: ribosomal RNA, 480 nt
Filed under: uncultured bacterium
Lineage: Bacteria
Description: bacterial SSU rRNA
Rfam family: Bacterial small subunit ribosomal RNA
Source: RNAcentral
GACGAACGCUGGCGGCGUGCUUAACACAUGCAAGUCGAACGGACCGAGUUGAUAGCUUGCUAUUGAUGAGGUUAGUGGCAAACGGGUGAGUAACGCGUAGGCAACCUGCCCUUNAGAUGGGGACAACACCUCGAAAGGGGUGCUAAUACCGAAUGACGUUUCCUGGUCGCAUGACCUGGAAACCAAAGGCCGGGCAACCGGUCACUGAAGGAUGGGCCUGCGUCUGAUUAGCUAGUUGGUGGGGUAACGGCCACCAAGGCGACGAUCAGUAGCCGGUCUGAGAGGAUGAACGGCCACAUUGGGACUGAGACACGGCCCAAACUCCUACGGGAGGCAGCAGUGGGGAAUCUUCCGCAAUGGGCGCAAGCCUGACGGAGCAACGCCGCGUGAGUGAAGAAGGUUUUCGGAUCGUAAAGCUCUGUUGAGAGGGACGAGAGAUAUAAUCAGGAAAUGGGUUAUAGAGGACGGUACCUUUCGAGG